RNAcentral lists this ribosomal RNA (543 nucleotides) under uncultured Polaromonas sp. RNAcentral describes it as "bacterial SSU rRNA". It matches the Rfam family "Bacterial small subunit ribosomal RNA", at positions 96 to 633 of the family's 1533-position model. Lineage: Bacteria; Pseudomonadati; Pseudomonadota; Betaproteobacteria; Burkholderiales; Comamonadaceae. The record is from RNAcentral.
UGGCGAACGGGUGAGUAAUAUAUCGGAACGUGCCCAGUCGUGGGGGAUAACGUAGAGAAAUUUACGCUAAUACCGCAUACGAUCUAAGGAUGAAAGCGGGGGACUUGCAAGAGCCUCGCGCGAUUGGAGCGGCUGAUAUCAGAUUAGGUUGUUGGUGAGGUAAAAGCUCACCAAGCCGACGAUCUGUAGCUGGUUUGAGAGAACGACCAGCCACACUGGGACUGAGACACGGCCCAGACUCCUACGGGAGGCAGCAGUGGGGAAUUUUGGACAAUGGGCGCAAGCCUGAUCCAGCAAUGCCGCGUGCAGGAAGAAGGCCUUCGGGUUGUGAACUGCUUUUGUCAGGGAAGAAAUCCUCUGGGUUAAUACCUCGGGGGGAUGACGGUACCUGAAGAAUAAGCACCGGCUAACUACGUGCCAGCAGCCGCGGUAAUACGUAGGGUGCGAGCGUUAAUCGGAAUUACUGGGCGUAAAGCGUGCGCAGGCGGCUUUGCAAGACAGAUGUGAAAUCCCCGGGCUCAACCUGGGAACUGCAUUUGUGAC